This 139-nucleotide ribosomal RNA is filed under the name Phocaeicola vulgatus. Its description in RNAcentral is "Bacteroides vulgatus partial 23S ribosomal RNA". It matches the Rfam family "Bacterial large subunit ribosomal RNA", at positions 2770 to 2925 of the family's 2925-position model. The record is from RNAcentral. Lineage: Bacteria; Pseudomonadati; Bacteroidota; Bacteroidia; Bacteroidales; Bacteroidaceae.
GCUGAAAGCAUCUAAGUACGAAGCCGGCCACAAGAUUAGAUUUCUCAGGGUCGUUGUAGACUACGACGUUGAUAGGAUGCAGGUGUAAAGAUGGAGACAUCAAAGCCGAGCAUUACUAAUUGCCCGUCCACUUUCCUUA